GAUGAACGCUGGCGGCGUGCCUAAUACAUGCAAGUCGAGCGAACAGACGAGGAGCUUGCUCCUCUGACGUUAGCGGCGGACGGGUGAGUAACACGUGGAUAACCUACCUAUAAGACUGGGAUAACUUCGGGAAACCGGAGCUAAUACCGGAUAAUAUAUUGAACCACAUGGUUCAAUAGUGAAAGACGGUUUUGCUGUAACUUAUAGAUGGAUCCGCGCCGCAUUAGCUAGUUGGUAAGGUAACGGCUUAGCAAGGCAACGAUGCGUAGCCGACCUGAGAGGGUGAUAGGCCACACUGGAAGUGGGACACGGUCCAGAGUCCUACGGGAGGCAGCAGUAGGGAACCGGCCGCAAUGGGCGAAAGCAUGACGGAGCAAGGCGGCGUGAGUGAUGACGGUCUUCGGAUCGGAAUACUCUGUUAUUAGUGAAGAACAAAUGUGUAAGGAACUAUGCACGUCGUGACGGUACCUAAUCAGAAAGCAACGGCUAACUACGUG
RNAcentral lists this ribosomal RNA (497 nucleotides) under uncultured bacterium. Its description in RNAcentral is "partial 16S ribosomal RNA". It matches the Rfam family "Bacterial small subunit ribosomal RNA", at positions 28 to 507 of the family's 1533-position model. The record is from RNAcentral.